This 494-nucleotide ribosomal RNA is filed under the name uncultured bacterium. RNAcentral's name for it is "partial 16S ribosomal RNA". It matches the Rfam family "Bacterial small subunit ribosomal RNA", at positions 28 to 507 of the family's 1533-position model. The record is from RNAcentral.
GACGAACGCUGGCGGCGUGCUUAACACAUGCAAGUCGAACGGUGAAGCGCCUUCCUUUUUGGUGGGUGUGGAUGAGUGGCGAACGGGUGAGUAACACGUGAGUAACCUGCCCCCUUCUCCUGGAUAACCGCAUGAAAGUGUGGCUAAUACGGGAUAUUCUGGGUCUGUCGCAUGAUGGGUCUGGGAAAGAUAUUGUUUCGGUGGGGGAUGGGCUCGCGGCCUAUCAGCUUGUUGGUGGGGUGAUGGCCUACCAAGGCGGUGACGGGUAGCCGGCCUGAGAGGGUGGACGGUCACACUGGGACUGAGACACGGCCCAGACUCCUACGGGAGGCAGCAGUGGGGAAUAUUGCACAAUGGGCGCAAGCCUGAUGCAGCGACGCCGCGUGAGGGAUGGAGGCCUUCGGGUUGUGAACCUCUUUCGCCAGUGAAGCAGGCCUGCCUCGUUUGUGGGUGGGUUGACGGUAGCUGGAUAAGAAGCGCCGGCUAACUACGUG